GGGGGUGAACAGGGUUCGACGGGAGUGAUAGACGUAAUGACAGCAGGCCGGAGUUGGUCGAUGGCUCCGUAAAAAUCGACCGAACAAUAAACAACAAAAUAUACAAAGCAGUAAACAAUAACUUUGCUGUGGGUCUCAAAUCAGAAUUCCCCAUAGCAGAAACUAAAGCUCCUUGCAGCAAUUUAAGUUUUGCAAUGGUAGCUGCUUAACGCGGCUGUGUUUUACUUCAGACAUCUGCUAUGGAGAUAAAACGACAAGAGCAGGUUAGUUUUAAGCGGACCUGUGCCAGCAGCUUAAAAUGAAAUUAAAACGGCACUAGUUUAUAGCGCAAUCUUGUCUGGAGACGGUGUUAUGAACAAGACAAACUUUCCAGACUAAGCCUGUAGCAGUCAUACCGAAACAUUUUCGGACGCGGGUUCAAUUCCCGCCACCUCCACAA
Molecule: transfer-messenger RNA, 439 nt
Filed under: Candidatus Endomicrobiellum trichonymphae
Lineage: Bacteria; Pseudomonadati; Elusimicrobiota; Endomicrobiia; Endomicrobiales; Endomicrobiaceae
Description: Candidatus Endomicrobium trichonymphae transfer-messenger RNA
Rfam family: transfer-messenger RNA
About the family: Bacterial tmRNA, also known as 10Sa RNA or SsrA, is named for its dual tRNA and mRNA-like properties. Its role is to liberate the mRNA from a stalled ribosome.
Source: Rfam by way of RNAcentral